Felis catus (domestic cat) is the source of this 1787-nucleotide long non-coding RNA. RefSeq lists it as uncharacterized. The transcript is spliced from 2 exons. Lineage: Eukaryota; Metazoa; Chordata; Mammalia; Carnivora; Felidae. The record is from RefSeq and is a predicted model, not a curated record.
CACCCAGGAAAAUUCCGGAGCCUGUCUGCCGCCUGCCUGGGCUGUUCUGGCUCCCGCCUGCUCCUCUCCUGCACUCUCCUAUUUAUCUCCGAGCCCGGAGAGUCCAGCAGAAACGGUGUAGGGGAAAACCAGGUUAGCCUGCGUCUUUAGGAAGCGGAAAGGCGGUAUCCGGAUUCAGACAGAAAAGACUCAGCACAGAAGCCGGGGGAAAGAAAACUCAUUUGGGCAAGGACUGAGUCAUAAAUCCUGAUUCCACGUCCUGAAAACCAGGACGGAGAGGGGGACAAAGUGGAAGGAAGGGUCUGAGAGAGGUCAGAGCUGGCACACAGGUGUGUGUGGUGCGGACACUGAUGGGCAGGCGAGCCGCACGCGGACGAGUGGUAUCUCAUGCCUGCACCCAGCAUGGAUGGGUCCCUACAGAUAGAGACAGAUGCACACCCACGUGAGCACACACACGCACGCACGCACGCACGCACACGCACGGGGAUUAGGGUCCUGCCGAGAAACAAACUUCAGAGAGAUGGUUCCUGGGAAGUGGCUUUGGGAAUUCUCUCGAAUGAACGUUCCCGGACUAAGUGAGGUCCCCCAGGAUGCUUCUCUUCUCCUUGCCCACCACCCUGAUCUCUAAGCAAAGCCAACAGGUGUCGGAUAGAAGGCAGAGAGGAAGGCGGGACGAGCCAGCCAGGGUGGGGAGUCACGUUCUUGGCUCGCUUUCACUCUUCUCCGUUUUUCUCUCUCUGGGGCCUAUGGUCUCUAUCCCUGCUCUUCCGCCACAGUUUCUCUUCCUUCCUCAUCUGCUAAGUCAUCUCUUUGAGUUUUUCAGGGGUAGCGGCUCCCCCUCAUUCUCUGGUGCCUCUUCUCCUUGCCUUUGAGAUAGCAGUAGCCUCUAGAGAGAACAUCUGUGCGCCCUGAGGGUGUUUGCACACUUUCUCCCCAGGCCAGCUAGAGAAACAGACGCUGGCCGGGAAGUCUGGUGUGAAAUCCCUCCCUCUCUCCCUCUCCCUCUCCUUUCUCCUCCCUCUCCUCUGCGUCCCCGGAUAAAACGAGAAACCAGCAGCUCGGUAAAAGUAGCGUAGACUUUAAUUCAGGUUGACAGGUGUGAAGGGAGCUGGGACUUGCCCCCCGGGGGGUCCAGAUGAGAAGGCCGUCUUACCGAGAGAGGCAGGGAGGGCAGGGGCGUGCGGGUGGUCUGGUGGUAGAACAGGGCCAGGAGCAGGGGCGUGGCCACACCGUGGAGUAUCGCCAGGGCCUCUGCCAGGUGCAGGAGCAGGUCCAGAGCCUGCUGGGCCAGACACGUCGACAGUACCAAGGACUUGGACCUCACAAGAAAGUCCAACCCCAGAGCCACCCCGUGAGGCCACCAGAAAACAAACCAGACCCACAGGACACUAACGCAGGGACCUGGCCACCUGCCCCACGCUUUCGUCAGCGCCUUGGUACCUAACAAGCCCAGUGGCAACAAGGUGAAGGCGGUAAAGCUGGCCACCACGUGCAAAAGCGGCAGAAACCUGGGGCUCUUGUUGAAGCUCAGGGAGCAGAGUCCACGGGAGGUGUCACUGGCCAGCGUGACGGGCAGCCCCAGGAGAAGAGCCCCUCCCCAGAGUCCCACAGUGAGCCACAGGGUGAUGCCCGCGACGUGGCCCACAUCCAGUUUGGGGCCCAGGCAGGCGUGGCACCCGAUCAGCAGAGCCUGGGCAAAGGCUGAGCCGUACCAGAGCAAGUGUGCCAGGCGGCACAGGGCUGUGCUCUGCACCCCGUUGAGCCCCGGGGCCAGGAUGGGCACCACG